CAGUAGCCACGGUAAUACGUAGGGUGCGAGCGUUAAUCGGAAUUACUGGGCGUAAAGCGUGCGCAGGCGGUUAUAUAAGACAGAUGUGAAAUCCCCGGGCUCAACCUGGGACCUGCAUUUGUGACUGUAUAGCUAGAGUACGGUAGAGGGGGAUGGAAUUCCGCGUGUAGCAGUGAAAUGCGUAGAUAUGCGGAGGAACACCGAUGGCGAAGGCAAUCCCCUGGACCUGUACUGACGCUCAUGCACGAAAGCGUGGGGAGCAAACAGGAUUAGAUACCCCCGUAGUCCCUGUCUCUUAUAC
This 301-nucleotide ribosomal RNA is filed under the name uncultured bacterium. RNAcentral's name for it is "partial 16S ribosomal RNA". It matches the Rfam family "Bacterial small subunit ribosomal RNA", at positions 509 to 807 of the family's 1533-position model. The record is from RNAcentral.